GAUGAACGCUGGCGGCGUGCUUAACACAUGCAAGUCGAACGGAAAGGCCCAGCCUUGCUUGGGUACUCGAGUGGCGAACGGGUGAGUAACACGUGAGUAACCUGCCCUGGACUUCGGGAUAAGCCUGGGAAACUGGGGCUAAUACCGGAUAGGACCAUCGCCUGCAUGGCGGGGGGGGAAGAGUUUUGGCGGUUGGGUAUGGUCGCGGGGCAUCUGAGUUUGUUGGGGGGGUUGGGGCAUAAAGGGGUUGUCGGGGAUUGCGGGCGUGAGGGGGUGAGGGGCCACAGGGGGACAGAGAUGCGGCCGAGACUCCUGCGGGGGGGAGGUGUGGAGAAUUGUGCACAGUGGGCGGGAGCCUUAUGCAGCAGCGCCGCGUGCGGGAUCGCGGUCUUCGUGUUGUAAACCGUUUUCGCCGGAGGCGGCGCUUGUGUGACGGUAAUUGGUGAAGAAGCACCGGCUAACUACGUG
Molecule: ribosomal RNA, 468 nt
Filed under: uncultured bacterium
Lineage: Bacteria
Description: partial 16S ribosomal RNA
Rfam family: Bacterial small subunit ribosomal RNA
Source: RNAcentral